GAUGAACGCUGGCGGCGUGCCUAAUACAUGCAAGUCGAGCGAACAGACGAGGAGCUUGCUCCUUUGACGUUAGCGGCGGACGGGUGAGUAACACGUAGGUAACCUACCUAUAAGACUGGGAUAACUUCGGGAAACCGGAGCUAAUACCGGAUAAUAUUUCGAACCGCAUGGUUCGAUAGUGAAAGAUGGCUUUACUAUCACUUAUAGAUGGACCUGCGCCGUAUUAGCUAGUUGGUAAGGUAACGGCUUACCAAGGCAACGAUACGUAGCCGACCUGAGAGGGGGACCGGCCACACUGGAACUGAGACACGGUCCAGACUCCGACGGGAGGCAGCAGGAGGGAAUCUUCCGCAAUGGGCGAAAGCCUGACGGAGCAACGCCGCGUGAGUGAUGAAGGUCUUCGGAUCGUAAAACUCUGUUAUUAGGGAAGAACAAACGUGUAAGUAACUGUGCACGUCUUGACGGUACCUAAUCAGAAAGCCACGGCUAACUACGUG
This 497-nucleotide ribosomal RNA is filed under the name uncultured bacterium. RNAcentral describes it as "partial 16S ribosomal RNA". It matches the Rfam family "Bacterial small subunit ribosomal RNA", at positions 28 to 507 of the family's 1533-position model. The record is from RNAcentral.